CACGCUCCGAAGCCUCGAUACAGAACGUCACAUCACUAGUUUGAAGUCAGACUUCCUCCGUUACUUCGAGUCUGUUUCAUAACGGAACAUCGCUGCGUUAGAAGGUGAUACUAGUUAUUUCCUCUUUAAAACGGAUCCACACAGUAAACUCUCUGUAUAUGUUCAGGAUAUGUGACCCUAACGUUACACGGUAAUCACCUAAAUACACACAGCUGGACUGGCCAUCGGGCAUUUGCCCGGUGGGCCAUGGUGAUUUUUCGUUUUUAUGGGCCGAUGGGUUCUUUUUUUCGUAACAGUAUAAACACUGAAAGGUGGUGGAUUGGCCAGAUGCUGGGAGAUGUGUAAAAAUAACUCAGUUGUUUGGUGGUGGCUAUUGCGGAGCUUCCACCGAUUUAGUAACAUUAGCAAGUGGUGGAGGCCAGCAGAUGCAACACGCUGGCAGGUGGAUGACGGCAGGAGGAGCAGAGACCCCAGGCGGUGAACUGAACUUCAGGGCCCUGGUGAGAACAUUAAAGAGGCUCACUGCUG
This is a long non-coding RNA of Astatotilapia calliptera (eastern happy), 528 nucleotides long. The record is from Ensembl. NCBI's taxonomy places the organism in Eukaryota, Metazoa, Chordata, Actinopteri, Cichliformes, Cichlidae.